Molecule: ribosomal RNA, 467 nt
Filed under: uncultured bacterium
Lineage: Bacteria
Description: partial 16S ribosomal RNA
Rfam family: Bacterial small subunit ribosomal RNA
Source: RNAcentral
GACGAACGCUGGCGGCGUGCUUAACACAUGCAAGUCGAACGGAAAGGCCCUGCUUUUGUGGGGUGCUCGAGUGGCGAACGGGUGAGUAACACGUGAGUAACCUGCCCUUGACUUUGGGAUAACUUCAGGAAACUGGGGCUAAUACCGGAUAGGAGCUCCUGCUGCAUGGUGGGGGUUGGAAAGUUUCGGCGGUUGGGGAUGGACUCGCGGCUUAUCAGCUUGUUGGUGGGGUAGUGGCUUACCAAGGCUUUGACGGGUAGCCGGCCUGGGAGGGUGACCGGCCAAAUGGGGAUAGGGAAGGGGCCAGGACGCAUAAGGGGAGAAGGGGGGGGAAAAUUUGCAAGAUGGGCGGAGGGCUGAAGGAAGAAAGCCGGGUGGGGAAGGACGGCUUUGGGGUUGGAAACCGAUUUGGCGUAUAACGAGGGGUGAGGAAGGGAAAUGGAUAAAAAAGACCCGGUAAAUUCGGG